RNA transcript from Leptopilina heterotoma, 2151 nucleotides. RefSeq lists it as uncharacterized. The record is from RefSeq and is a predicted model, not a curated record. The transcript is spliced from 8 exons. NCBI's taxonomy places the organism in Eukaryota, Metazoa, Arthropoda, Insecta, Hymenoptera, Figitidae.
GUUAUGAUUUUGUAAACAAUAAAUUUCCCAAGCAAUUGUCACUAUAUUUACUGAGGUUAUCUGUCAGAUUGUUAAUCGAAAAUGAGGAUAAUUUCUUUUCGAAAUUUAUACACUUUAUUAUUUUUAAGAUGAAAUUUGUACACUAUUUUUAUACGUAUAUUUUGAUUUUUAUAUUAACCAAAUCUAAAUGGUUCGUUCUCGGGACAUCUAAUUUUGAAUUUGGUGAAUUGAAAUAUUUAUCAGAAAAAUUACAACCUAUGGAGUGUUUUAAACUUCUUGAUGUGAUUUAUGAAAAAAUCGUCUCAGAAAAAUCUAUUGUACUUGAAAAACUUCAAGAGGAGAUAAAAAGUAUUUUGAAAAAAUCAUGGUCUACGGACAAAAGUUGCUUUUCUCAUUUGCUAAAGUGGCAAAACAGUUUUCCUGAAGAUGGAAAUAUUGAAGGACGUAAAUUAAUGGAAGAUGUAUUAUUAUCUUUGGGAAGAUCUGAUUUAGUGAAAUAUUUGAGAAAAACUCAAAGAGGACAUUUUAUCAAACAUUUAAAGAGAUUUGAAAAGUUAAUGGAAAAUAAUGAUUACAAUGAAGCGAAACGAUAUGAAGCCGUGAAUGACGAAGAAAUGAAUCAAAGUAAAUAUCAAAACGGAAACGGUCACGAGAAAAAUAAUCUAUAUCAGAAAUUCGAUUUAGAUGGAAUUGAUAGCAACCAUGCGCCUCCAACUCAAGCCGUUAUGAGCGGAGAGACUUUUAAUGAAAAUGAUUACGAAAAUAGAAAUAAAGACGUAAUUAGAGGGAAAACAAGAGAGAAGAACUUUGACGUUUACUGGAUUAUUCUUAUCACUGUUAUUGCUCUAGUAAUCAUGUCCAUUUGUGGAAGUGGAAUUUUUUUCAUCUACAGAAAAAAUUGCGAUCGAUUUGUCAAGGGUCGUUUAUGUCAAGAAUGGGCCUUAAGUAAAGAAAAGCAGAAUAUUAACGUAUGUUGCUGUGGUAAGCGAAGAGAAACAAGUAGAAGGGCUUAUUCGAAUGUAGACUGCAUGGAAAGUGGAUGGUCCAGAAAAUGCUCAAAGUGCUGUUUGGAUUCAAAGGGAGACGAUAACAAUGAAAAGUCACGUUUGAUGAAAGAAACGGCGUGCGUGCAAAAAUGCAAAAAAUUGAGAAAGAAGAAAACACAUUCAAAAACGAGAGAGAAAUGCCAGAAGAAAGAGGCAAAGAAAGUAGCGAGAAACAAGUGUCUCGAGAAGGAAAUGAAAAUACGAAAGUGUCAGAGAAGUGCCAUUAGUGAACCAUCACGUACUGAUUAUAAGGAAAUGCAAAAUAAAAUUGUCACCGUGCCAAAAAAUAACUACAACCAUUAUCAGUGUAACUGCACCAGUGAAGAAACAGAGUUUAUUAUAGCGACCAAAAAAGGGAAGAAAAAAAAGAAAAGUGGUUGGACAUCGCCGCAAUUGAAGGAAAAGAGAAUAAAGGGAUCGAAAAACGCAGAGAAAUUGUUUCAAUACGACUCAAGUAGUCCUUGCUCUAGAAAAACCUGCGAGUGGAGAAAAAUAGCCAAGGGAAAGAGACACGGGAAAAAUAGCGUGUAAAUUUAAUUACUACUUGGAAAAUUGCACAAUUUUGUUAUCCUCCGAAAAACUAGUAAUUGGUAAAUUCUCUCUGAAAAUUCUGAGACUAUAAUCGUUGCACUCAAAAGGAUGAGAAUACUCCGACAUCUAGAUUAAGUCUCUCGGUCAAGGUUGAGGGUCAAAAGAUUCGUCGCAAGAAAGGGUUGAGAAAGAACAGAAAUGAAAAGACGAGUAUUGAUUAGACACUUUACAAGCCGUUCAACUGUUUCGAAGAAAAUAAAAAAAAACAAUAGAAAAAAUAAUUGAAUCACUUGAAAUUGCUCCUUACUUGGAAAAUAUGUUGGAAAAAUGUCACAAAUUUUUUCUCUAUAAACAAACGAAAAUAAAAGAAAAAAAUUGAUUAUGAACAAAUUUAGCUGAUGAUGAAAUUUUCGUACUUGUAUUUCUUCAUAAUUAUCAUCGAGGUGCCGGUAUCUUUGGCAACAUCUGUUUAGGGAAAUUUGCGAAGAACCAGACACUUGGAUAAUGGUAAAUUGAAAAACAUUGUCAGUAAGCUUGAUCCAAUAGAAUGUUUUUACCUUAUUAUCGUUUUGAC